This 266-nucleotide unclassified non-coding RNA is filed under the name uncultured fungus. RNAcentral's name for it is "partial contains 5.8S ribosomal RNA, internal transcribed spacer 2, and large subunit ribosomal RNA". The stretch from base 1 to 52 matches the Rfam family "5.8S ribosomal RNA", at positions 103 to 154 of the family's 154-position model. Lineage: Eukaryota; Fungi. The record is from RNAcentral.
AACGCACAUUGCGCCCGCCAGUAUUCUGGCGGGCAUGCCUGUUCGAGCGUCAUUUCAACCCCUCAGGCCCUGGUGCCUGGCGUCGGGGCGUUCCCUCGCGGGAAGCCCCCAGAGACAGUGGCGGACCAGUCGCGGCUCCGAGCGCAGUAGUAACAUUCUCGCUUAGGAGGUCUGCGGCGGGCUCCCGGCCGUAAAACCCAGACCCCUCACAGGGCUGACUUCUCAAGGUUGACCUCGGAUCAGGUAGGAAUACCCGCUGAACUUAA